Molecule: ribosomal RNA, 1084 nt
Filed under: Escherichia coli
Lineage: Bacteria; Pseudomonadati; Pseudomonadota; Gammaproteobacteria; Enterobacterales; Enterobacteriaceae
Description: partial 23S ribosomal RNA
Rfam family: Bacterial large subunit ribosomal RNA
Source: RNAcentral
CUGGAGGUAUCAGAAGUGCGAAUGCUGACAUAAGUAACGAUAAAGCGGGUGAAAAGCCCGCUCGCCGGAAGACCAAGGGUUCCUGUCCAACGUUAAUCGGGGCAGGGUGAGUCGACCCCUAAGGCGAGGCCGAAAGGCGUAGUCGAUGGGAAACAGGUUAAUAUUCCUGUACUUGGUGUUACUGCGAAGGGGGGACGGAGAAGGCUAUGUUGGCCGGGCGACGGUUGUCCCGGUUUAAGCGUGUAGGCUGGUUUUCCAGGCAAAUCCGGAAAAUCAAGGCUGAGGCGUGAUGACGAGGCACUACGGUGCUGAAGCAACAAAUGCCCUGCUUCCAGGAAAAGCCUCUAAGCAUCAGGUAACAUCAAAUCGUACCCCAAACCGACACAGGUGGUCAGGUAGAGAAUACCAAGGCGCUUGAGAGAACUCGGGUGAAGGAACUAGGCAAAAUGGUGCCGUAACUUCGGGAGAAGGCACGCUGAUAUGUAGGUGAAGUCCCUCGCGGAUGGAGCUGAAAUCAGUCGAAGAUACCAGCUGGCUGCAACUGUUUAUUAAAAACACAGCACUGUGCAAACACGAAAGUGGACGUAUACGGUGUGACGCCUGCCCGGUGCCGGAAGGUUAAUUGAUGGGGUCAGCGCAAGCGAAGCUCUUGAUCGAAGCCCCGGUAAACGGCGGCCGUAACUAUAACGGUCCUAAGGUAGCGAAAUUCCUUGUCGGGUAAGUUCCGACCUGCACGAAUGGCGUAAUGAUGGCCAGGCUGUCUCCACCCGAGACUCAGUGAAAUUGAACUCGCUGUGAAGAUGCAGUGUACCCGCGGCAAGACGGAAAGACCCCGUGAACCUUUACUAUAGCUUGACACUGAACAUUGAGCCUUGAUGUGUAGGAUAGGUGGGAGGCUUUGAAGUGUGGACGCCAGUCUGCAUGGAGCCGGCCUUGAAAUACCACCCUUUAAUGUUUGAUGUUCUAACGUGGACCCGUGAUCCGGGUUGCGGACAGUGUCUGGUGGGUAGUUUGACUGGGGCGGUCUCCUCCUAAAGAGUAACGGAGGAGCACGAAGGUUGGCUAAUCCUGGUCGGACAUCAGG